This is a non-coding RNA of Pantherophis guttatus, 1239 nucleotides long. The record is from RefSeq and is a predicted model, not a curated record. NCBI's taxonomy places the organism in Eukaryota, Metazoa, Chordata, Lepidosauria, Squamata, Colubridae.
GAUCCCUAUUUUUCUACUUGCACUUUUUACAUGCUUUCAAACUGCUAGGUUGGCAGAAGCUGGGACAAGUAAUGGGAGCUCACCCUGUUACGCAGCACUAGGGAUUCGAACCACUGAACUGCCGACCUUUUGAUCAACAAGCUCAGCAUCUUAGUCACUGAGCCACCGCGUCUCUAUUUAGAAUAAGGAUCAGGUUUUAUUUCAUCUAAUAAUAAAUUAAAAUAAUUCAUUUUACUGGCCAAGCUAUUCCAACCCUACAAUUCAUAUAUUAUUUUUUCUUUCUUUCAGUCUUCCUGAUCAUCCGGCUUUUACAGAUAUAUGUUGUGAUUGGCCUUCAAAAUGCAUACCUUUGUUGUCAAUAAAAUGUCUAUGAACUUAUUAGUUCCAUAGAUUAUAUCAGGAGGAGAAACAUUUGGCUCCCUGCAAAUCUUGAUUGAAACAUUUUAAUUUUGUCUCUCCCUAUUUAGGCAAUAUCUGGGUUUGAGGACAAUCAAGGAAUGAUAGUGGAGAUAGCAAUAUUUUUCUCUCCCACCCCCUCCCAGUUUUUGGAGGAGAUAGAUAUUUUUUUUAAGAGAGUUAAUUCUACCUUUAUGUGGUUUCUACAUCAAACUGGUAGCUAAUCAAAAUGCAGUGGUGCAGUCAGAAGAAAGGAAGGGGUUUGCCAGAAAAAAAGCAGCAAAUGGAUUACUUUUAGAUGUUCGGAAGUCCUAGCAGCCAUGAAGUCCUAGAAGCCAUUGAAGCUCUCUCUGGGAAGUUUGCCCAGAAAUGAUCAAAUCCUCAAUUAGAAAAUAUGUCUUGGUCCUUCUGAGAAGUUGAUUGUUAAAUUGGUUGGAGAAGCUGAACUUUAUGUGAACGUUUGGCCAUAAGAAACUUUAGGGUCAUCCUCCUUUUAACCGAAAUAUACCAAUAAGCUAUGCAAGCAACUUUAUUUUCAUAAAUAUCCGUCUUUCUUGGCAGAGCAAGUGCAUUAGUUUAAAAUCAAACAGUGUAUCAAGAAAUUAUGAAAACUCGAUUGCACCUUAUUGCAAAUUAAGAUAAUGUAAAUUUCAGCUUGAACAAGUCAUGUUUGAUUGGUUUUUUUUUUUAAAAAAAGGUUAUAUUAUGUCAUAAAGAUUCCUGAAAUAAGUUACCCUUGAAUGUCAAGAGGUGAAAAGGCCAUUUCAAGAUGAGUUUUGUUUUUUAAAUGGAACAGUAUGGUCAGCAAUAUUCAUUCCAAUAAAGGGCCAGUAAAUCCAGAAA